CAGCCGCCGCGGUAAUACGAAGGGGGCUAGCGUUGCUCGGAAUUACUGGGCGUAAAGGGAGCGUAGGCGGAUGUUUAAGUCAGGGGUGAGAUCCCGGGGCUCAACCUCGGAACUGCCUUUGAUACUGGAAGUCUUGAGUGUGGAAGAGGUAAGUGGAACUGCGAGUGUAGAGGUGAAAUUCGUAGAUAUUCGCAGGAACACCAGUGGCGAAGGCGGCUUACUGGUCCACAACUGACGCUGAGGUGCGAAAGCGUGGGGAGCAAACAGGAUUAGAUACCCCUGUAGUCCCUGUCUCUUAUAC
Molecule: ribosomal RNA, 301 nt
Filed under: uncultured bacterium
Lineage: Bacteria
Description: partial 16S ribosomal RNA
Rfam family: Bacterial small subunit ribosomal RNA
Source: RNAcentral